GUGAGGAAUAUUGGACAAUGGGCGCAAGCCUGAUCCAGCCAUGCCGCGUGCAGGAAGACGCAUCUAUGGUGUGUAAACUGCUUUUGUACGGGAAGAAACACUCCCUCGUGAGGGAGCUUGACGGUACCGUAAGAAUAAGGAUCGGCUAACUCCGUGCCAGCAGCCGCGGUAAUACGGAGGAUCCAAGCGUUAUCCGGAAUCAUUGGGUUUAAAGGGUCCGUAGGCGGUUUAAUAAGUCAGUGGUGAAAGCCCAUCGCUCAACGAUGGAACGGCCAUUGAUACUGUUAGACUUGAAUUACAAGGAAGUAACUAGAAUAUGUAGUGUAGCGGUGAAAUGCUUAGAUAUUACAUGGAAUACCAAUUGCGAAGGCAGGUUACUACUUGUGGAUUGACGCUGAUGGACGAAAGCGUGGGGAGCGAACGGGAUUAGAUACCCUAGUAGUCC
RNAcentral lists this ribosomal RNA (445 nucleotides) under uncultured bacterium. Its description in RNAcentral is "partial 16S ribosomal RNA". It matches the Rfam family "Bacterial small subunit ribosomal RNA", at positions 354 to 796 of the family's 1533-position model. The record is from RNAcentral.